CGGGAACACGCACGAGCUGAAUCCGCCUGAACCUAUGCAGGGGCGGGCGAAGCGAGACAAGGCGCGGCACGCGCUGCCAAACGUCACCGAACAUCAGUAUUUUUGCUUUUAACUGAGUCACAAGAGGUGAACUUCAAGGAACAUUUAAAGAAGUCUAGGUGGAUGGUCGGAAGGUGAGCGCAUAGAACUGAGAUGGCCAAAGGUGCAACCUUCAAAAUGGAACAAAGGAAGAGUUUGAUGUACAAGUAGCAGUGAGGUUCCAACACAAGCUGUUCUGAAUAAUUUAUCAACAUGUAUCGUCUGGCAAGAAAGAAACUAGAUGGGAACAACUUAUGACGUGCAAGUCAGAGCAGUUAAUUAGCGACUGUAGCUUGCGGCUUGCACCUCCAGCCUCGGACAUCAGUCAACAACAUUUCAGAAGAAUUUUCUAAGGCAGUAACUGCAUGACAACACCGACUCCCCCCAACCCUCAGCCUCCCAUGGACAUUGGCAUUGUCACUGCAUUGUUAAGUUACUUCUCUGGCCCACUUCGAAUACAGUUCUACACUUCAAUGAUGCAUUUUGGAGUACGACAGCAAGUCUCAUUGCAAUGCUGUUACCAGGACAAUGUUUGCUCACCGUCAGAGACUCUACUGAUGGAUUCAACCAGCAUCCACCUCAUGGCUUCUUGCUUGCUCUCUUAAUGCUCACUCACUCACUGUGCUUGCUUGGAUGUUUCAUGCACCAUUGCUUUGCUUUGCAUGCCUUGCCUCGUCUCAUUUGUGCUUUGCCCCCGCAGCCAAAUUCUAAAGGCUCAGUAAUUCUGUGUUGCCAUGUUGAAUAGAGCAAAUGUAAAGCAAAUAUUGCUGCACAUCACUAUGCUGCAUCAAUCUCACCUGCAUUGUGUGCUAGAAGCUUAUACAACAAGUACAUUGCAAAAAACAAAUGGCCAUGGAAAGAGGUAAGGCAGGAGGGAGGGUUGUCAAUAGCCAGCUCCACCUUGGUUUCAAUGGGCAACAAUACAGUACCACUGUCUGGCAAUGAGGAGUCAAUUUGCCUAGAUUUCAGGUAGCAAAGUCUGGAAAUUAACAGUGAAAUAAAUUAGCAAAGUGGAACACGAGGAACAUCAAUACCAAUACUCACUGUGUGAAGCAUCUCCAUAGGUUUCUUUCCAUCGUGUUGUAAAUAACAAGCAAAAAUGAAAAUCACUGCCACCACAUGCAGGGAAGCAGGUAUUUGUAUUUGUUUCUUCGAGGGACAGGGCUCCACUUCUGUGUAAUGUGAGGCAAAAGGCGAUAGUAGUAAACAGAUACUCACAGUACAGCUGAAAAGACACCUGCAAACACUCAACGUCACUCAUGAGACUUAGGUAUUGAUUUACUGUGUUGACUCCAAAUUCUGACCCUGAAGCAUUCUUCACCAUUUUGUGCUAUACCAAAAAUCAAUUCUACUAAUGGCUUAAAUGCACAAGCAACAUAAUACAACCUGGAAAGAUUGGUCCUGAUCAUCAAAGUAGCAAUCACCUUCAAAGAUCCCAUAGCCUGCACAUGGUGCACAAUUUGCUCACUGAGAGUUUAAAGUUAUAGAGGUCUACAGCACAGAAAAAGGCUCUUUGACUCACUGAGUCUGUGCCAGUCAAAAGCAACCACCUAACUAUUCUAAUCCCAUUUUCUAGCAUUUGACCCCCAGUCUUGUAUGCCUCGGUACUUCACUUCACAGCUUGGACCAUAAAACUUUGCUAAAAUGGCUAGGCUGUGCACCUUCAUUCUUGAGUUACAGCUAUGUAAAGACACUCGUUCACACAGCUGAAGAUAAGAAGUGAACAUGUUUUUACAAAUGUAAGAACUUGUUUACAGUGAAUCUUUGACUGUCUUGUUUACAAGCCUUAAAUCUGUCUUUUUCUUUCUUUCCCUCACACUAUGCCUUGGUACAGUAGCAGGGUCCACAACUGAGAUAGGAGAUGCCUCCCCAAUGGUAGAACCCCUGUUGGUGUUAGAGUUUGUUUGAAUGACCCCCAACUUCAUGUGCGUAUGCUCAGUGCCUCUGACGAACCUGCCUUCUCCUCUCUGCUUGCGCAUUUAGAUGAAGUUGUUCAUUGUCGGACUACCAGGCUGUGUGAGGUUAAGCAGGUUCCAGGUCUCUGGCAGUCACAUUGUCAUAGAGUUAUACAGAAUGGAAACAAACCCUUCAAUUCAAUUAAUCCACAAUGAUCAUGUUCCCAAAUUAAACUUGUCCUACUUGCCUGCAUUUGGCCCAUAUCGUUCCAAACCUUUUUACUCAUCUACUUACCAAAUGUCUUUUAAAUGUGUUGGAGCUAUCUGUAUCCAGCAGUUCCUCUGGCAGUUCAUUACACAUACGACACACUCUCUGUGUAAAAACGUUGCCUCAUGUCCUUUUUAAAACUUUCUCCUCUCACCUUAGAAAUGUCCCCUUGUUUUGAUCUCCCCCACCCUAGGAAAAAUACACUUGCUAUUCACCUUAUAUAUGCUGCUCAUGAUUUUAUAAUCUUCUACAAGGUUCCCCCCUCAAACUCCUACAGUCAAGUGGAAAAAGGUCUCAGCCUAUCCAGCCUAUUUUUAUAACUCAAACCCUCCACUCCCAGCAACAUCCUGGUAAUCUUUUCUGAACCCUCUCCAAUUUAAUAAUAUCCUUCCUGUAACAAGGCAACCAGAACUCCAUGCAGCACUCCAGAAGAGGCCUCAACAAUGGCCUGUCUAACAUCAACAUGAUCUCUCAACUUAACGGUAAACAUGCUAAAUGCUUUCUUAAGCUACCUGCGAUGCAAAUUUCAAAGAAUUAUGAACCUGAACCCCUCGGUCUCUCUGUUCUGCAACACUGCCUAGAGCUCCACCAUUAAUUGUAUAAGUACUGCCCUUGUUUGUUUUACCAAAAUGCAAUAUCCUGUACUUAUGCAAAUUAAACUCCAUUUGCCACUUGUCAGCCCAUUGACCCAAUUGAUCAAGAUCUCUGUAAUAUUAGAUAACUUUCUUCACCUUCCACUAUACCACUAAUUUGGUGUCAUCUGCAAACUUACUAAUGCUCAUCCAUGCCUCCUAAAUGAUUAUCUAAAUCCUCUGAGGGACACUGAGCUGGGUCUUCUUAACAUAUCUGCAGAGACAUGGCAAUGAAGUGUUCAACAGAAUGUCCUCCAGACUCUAAUGUAGAGAAAACGUCCAUCAAGAUGUUAGUAUCUGAGUUUGUGGAGGGAGCGGGAGGUAGAAUUGCAACUGCACCCUCUGAGGGAUCUGUAGAUUCUUCCUCAGAGUGGAGGAGGAGAUGUACUUCUGGGCCACCUUCCUGGGCUCAUAGCCCAUGCACUUGCCAAUUCUAUCAACAGGAGGAAAAUCAUUGAGAAUAAGGGUGGUAAGUUUGGGCAUGUUAAGAAAACAUCCAGAGUGAUGCUAAUAGGAGAGCAGCACAGCAAUAGACACUGAUUCUUUCCUGGUUGCUGGGUCAUGGAGGAUUGCCACUUGUUGGUUACUCUGCUCACUGAGCAGGCCUAGGAUUCUCUCCCCUCAGGGAAUGAGGAGCUGAAUGGCAGGGAUCCCAUCACCCAUCUUGGCUGUUUACAGCUGAUUGUGGGUCCUUUUCUUCUAAAAUGAACAGAGGGAGGGAUUGAGUGAGAUGAAAGUGGCUUACACAGCUGCUAGAUAACAAAGUGUG
Stegostoma tigrinum is the source of this 3642-nucleotide long non-coding RNA. RefSeq lists it as uncharacterized. The transcript is spliced from 4 exons. Lineage: Eukaryota; Metazoa; Chordata; Chondrichthyes; Orectolobiformes; Stegostomatidae. The record is from RefSeq and is a predicted model, not a curated record.